GAUGAACGCUAGCUACAGGCUUAACACAUGCAAGUCGAGGGGAAACGACAUUGAAGCUUGCUUCGAUGGUCGUCGACCGGCGCACGGGUGAGUAACGCGUAUCCAACCUGCCUCUGACCAAGGGAUAACCCGUCGAAAGUCGGCCUAAUACCUUAUGCAGUCGUCGGAAGUCAUCUGAUGACGACGAAAGAUUUCAUCGGUGAGAGAUGGGGAUGCGUCUGAUUAGCUUGUUGGCGGGGUAACGGCCCACCAAGGCAACGAUCAGUAGGGGUUCUGAGAGGAAGGUCCCCCACAUUGGAACUGAGACACGGUCCAAACGCCUACGGGAGGCAGCAGUGAGGAAUAUUGGUCAAUGGGCGAGAGCCUGAACCAGCCAAGUAGCGUGCAGGAUGACGGCCCUAUGGGUUGUAAACUGCUUUUAUGCGGGGAUAAAGUGAGGGACGUGUCCUUCAUUGCAGGUACCGCAUGAAUAAGGACCGGCUAAUUCCGUG
Molecule: ribosomal RNA, 491 nt
Filed under: uncultured bacterium
Lineage: Bacteria
Description: partial 16S ribosomal RNA
Rfam family: Bacterial small subunit ribosomal RNA
Source: RNAcentral